This 235-nucleotide ribosomal RNA is filed under the name uncultured bacterium. RNAcentral describes it as "partial 16S ribosomal RNA". The record is from RNAcentral.
CUGCUGCCUUCCGUAGGAGUUUGAGCCGUGUCUCAGUCCCAAUGUGGCCGGCCAACCUCUCAGUCCGGCUACUGAUCGUCGCCUUGGUGGGCCGUUACCCCGCCAACCAGCUAAUCAGACGCGAGUCCAUCUCAGAGCGAUAAAUCUUUGAUAUCCAGUUCCAUGCGACACAGAUAUAUUAUGCGGUAUUAGCAGCUGUUUCCAGCUGUUAUUCCCCACUCCAAGGCAGGUUACU